RNAcentral lists this ribosomal RNA (464 nucleotides) under Vreelandella stevensii. Its description in RNAcentral is "partial 16S ribosomal RNA". It matches the Rfam family "Bacterial small subunit ribosomal RNA", at positions 338 to 795 of the family's 1533-position model. The record is from RNAcentral. Lineage: Bacteria; Pseudomonadati; Pseudomonadota; Gammaproteobacteria; Oceanospirillales; Halomonadaceae.
CCUACGGGUGGCUGCAGUGGGGAAUAUUGGACAAUGGGCGAAAGCCUGAUCCAGCCAUGCCGCGUGUGUGAAGAAGGCCUUCGGGUUGUAAAGCACUUUCAGUGGGGAAGAAAGCCUUGGGGCUAAUACCCUCGAGGAAGGACAUCACCCACAGAAGAAGCACCGGCUAACUCCGUGCCAGCAGCCGCGGUAAUACGGAGGGUGCGAGCGUUAAUCGGAAUUACUGGGCGUAAAGCGCGCGUAGGCGGUCUGAUAAGCCGGUUGUGAAAGCCCCGGGCUCAACCUGGGAACGGCAUCCGGAACUGUCAGGCUAGAGUGCAGGAGAGGAAGGUAGAAUUCCCGGUGUAGCGGUGAAAGGCGUAGAGACCGGGAGGAAUACCAGUGGCGAAGGCGGCCUUCUGGACUGACACUGACGCUGAGGUGCGAAAGCGUGGGUAGCAAACAGGAUUAGAUACCCUAUAGUC